RNAcentral lists this small nucleolar RNA (101 nucleotides) under Torulaspora delbrueckii CBS 1146. Its description in RNAcentral is "Small nucleolar RNA snR52". It matches the Rfam family "Small nucleolar RNA snR52". Lineage: Eukaryota; Fungi; Ascomycota; Saccharomycetes; Saccharomycetales; Saccharomycetaceae. The record is from Rfam by way of RNAcentral.
UAUCAUGAUGAACGACAUUAGCGUGAACAAUCUCUGAUACAAAAUCUUUCAAAUGCGAUAGAUUUUAGGAUUAGAAAACUUAUGUUGCCUUCCUUCUGAAU